Molecule: ribosomal RNA, 382 nt
Filed under: Asiagomphus septimus
Lineage: Eukaryota; Metazoa; Arthropoda; Insecta; Odonata; Aeshnidae
Description: partial 16S ribosomal RNA
Source: RNAcentral
GUCCUCUUGUUUGUAUAUGAGGUCUGACCUGCCCGGUGAAAUUUGUUUUAACGGCCGCAGUAUUUUGACUGUGCAAAGGUAGCAUAAUCAUUAGUCUUUUAAUAGGGGGCUGGUAUGAAGGGUUUGACGAGGUGUUUACUGUCUCAUUUAAUGUGUAUUUAGAAUUUAACUUUUCAGUUAAAAGGCUGAAAUUAUAUUGGAAGACGAGAAGACCCUAUAGAGCUUUAUAAUUAAAAUUUUAAUUAUUUUUUGUUUAUUAUUUUUUAUUAUUAUUUUAAUUAUUUUGUUGGGGUGACAAAAAUAUAUAAUUAACUUUUUUAUUUAAUUAACAUUGAUUUAUGAUUAUUAGAUCCAUUAUUAGUGAUUGUUAGAUUAAGUUACC